GACGAGGGAUCCUAGCGUUGUUCGGAAUCAUUGGGCGUAAAGCGGGUGCAUGUGGCUUUGUAAGUCAGGUGUGAAAUCCCAGGGCUUAACCCUGGAAGUGCAUUUGAUACUGCGAAGCUUGAGUGCUGGAGAGGUAAGUAGAAUUCCUGGUGUAGUGGUGAAAUACGUAGAUAUCAGGAGGAAUACCGGAGGCGAAGGCGGCUUACUGGCCAGACACUGACACUCAGACCCGAAAGCGUGGGGAUCAAACAGG
RNAcentral lists this ribosomal RNA (253 nucleotides) under uncultured bacterium. Its description in RNAcentral is "partial 16S ribosomal RNA". It matches the Rfam family "Bacterial small subunit ribosomal RNA", at positions 524 to 776 of the family's 1533-position model. The record is from RNAcentral.